Molecule: long non-coding RNA, 1107 nt
Filed under: Calidris pygmaea (Spoon-billed sandpiper)
Lineage: Eukaryota; Metazoa; Chordata; Aves; Charadriiformes; Scolopacidae
Description: lncRNA (ENSCPGG00000000575.1)
Source: RNAcentral
CUCUCAUUAAUUUUGAAUUAAUAUUCUUGAGGUAGUUCAGACACAGAGUUAUUGAAAGAGAGUUGUCCAUCUUGAAGAAUUUUCCUAUAGAUGUGCUCUGAACAUUCUUUAUGCUUUAUUCUCUUGACAAGAGUGAUUUUCCCUGGACGUUAGUGAUUUAUGUGAACUCCAGAUCAGUGAAAUGCACAGUCUCACAAGGAAGGCCAUGCAACAUCUCACAGAUCACAGCCUUAAAAAGGAUCCAAAACCAGUCAGCAACCACAUCUUCCACACGCUGCGGAGCUGCCCUUCAGAAUCCUCAGGUUUGUACCUGGAGGGAGCCUCGCACGUGUAGGUCACGGCAAGUUAAAAGAAGUGGAGUUAAGGGUGUCACCCCAAAACCUGCGCCCGCUCCCCGCGGCGCUGCCCUGCAGCCCUCUCAGCACCAUCUCCUCACGUCCCACACGGAGUCCUGCACCUUCCAGGAGCUAUGCAAAGGAAGGGUGGAGCCCGUUCCUCACCUCCUGUCUGCAGCCGCAGAAGAUAGUACAUCCUGAAAGCGUGACAUCUGCCACGAGCCCUUUUUCCUCCUUCCCCUCGCUGAAGCUGCGGAAGAGAAGGAAGGGUAGAUUGGGACAGUUAUCUCGGCUUCCACGGAGACAUGCUACAAGGGUGGGAGACACAGAGGGUAGCUGAGCAGACAACCGCAAACACUACAGAGGCACAGGACCUCCCUGAAGAUGGCCUUGGCCUCCUAAGAGUCCCUCUGGAGUCCUACAGCUGUUCCUGCCGUCCAGAUGGGAAAACGUGCGUGCACGCACACGCGAGAGAGACCCUGAGGAAGUACCUGUGGGGGCAUCUAAGUUAGUAUAUACAUAUAUAUAUAUACUUAUUUACGAAAAAAUAGUGAGAGAACUUUUAUGCUAUACCACAAAGACACGGCCAUCGCUGCCGCUGCAGCACAUGCUGCUGGGUUUAUAUUGCACCAGAGAUAACGCAGUGAGAAAAUCGUACCCCAGAGGAAACGUAGCUUGGACUGCUUUUCACAAAGAAAAGUCCUAAUCAUACAAUUCACUGAAGCUGGAAAAGUUUCAUUUAAAAAUAAACAAAACGUAAUACUGGGGUCCA